Non-coding RNA from Myodes glareolus (Bank vole), 1626 nucleotides. The record is from RefSeq and is a predicted model, not a curated record. NCBI's taxonomy places the organism in Eukaryota, Metazoa, Chordata, Mammalia, Rodentia, Cricetidae.
CCAGGGUGAGAGCGGGUGGCAACUGUGUCUCUUUCACUGGUGGGGAAGAGUGUGACAGUCUGACACCCUCAAAUGUUAGUUCUGGAAACUGAGGCUGAGAAAAUCGCUACAGAGUGUACAAGAUGCAUAACUGACAUCUUAUUUAAACAGUGUUUUUUUUUUGGAGCUCAAGGACAAUUUUAUUAAUAGUUUAAAAGGAAAAACUCCAGAGCAAGCGAAGUGCAAAUCUUGGUCAGAGCCUAGAGGAGGGAGAUAGGGAAGGAAGGAACACGUCGUGCGGUCUGAGGUAAGCUGGCGUGGAAGUCGGCUGCACAGCAGACAUGCAGACAGCCAUGUGGCAGACAAGAGGCUAAAUGACCACAUGGCAGGGAGCGGGCUGUAGAGGAAGAGGAAGGAGCCCACGUGCCAGCAAAAGCUACGGAGGCUCUGUCAGCAACUGAAAGAAAGAGACAGGAAAAAGGAAACACCGCAGAAUGGUAGUCAGACCUGUCAGUGCCUGGUGCGGCUGGAGGAACGUUGUCGUUCACACUCAGAGAUGACCGGAUCAUCCAAAAAAGUCCUGAGGUCUUCUGAAACACUUCCUGCCAGGUACUAAAUCCUUAUUGGGUAUUCGACUUAGACGUGCCUUCUGGACUGGUGGAACGUGGCAGUACUGGCGUCCGAACUCUUUCAGGUCUUUACUCUGUGGACUCCCAAGUCUUCGAUCUGGGUCUCCUGGAGCUCUAGCGAGCCGCAGUCUGACUGUCGAAUGAAAGACGACCUUUAAUUCUUGGCCUCUCCCUCCCAAGUGCUGAGAUGACAGUUAGGUCAGAAUUGGCAUUUCUAUGAACAUGUGACCUAGAGAGAUGCUGAGAAUGACAGGCACAGCAAAGUGUAAGGCCAGAGGAGGCUGAAGACGGAGUCCUAGGGCAAACCCAAGGACCAGUGAGAUGGCAAAACUCUGAAGUCUGGACCGUCUGAGGUAAAUGUCUGUUUCCCUUACUGAGACCACCCCUUGAAUCCAUCACUUGUGGUGAACUUGCUAUUCAAGGUCCGUGAGUGAGUCUGUCUCUGCUGUAACAGGAGGGUGUAGGUGGGGAGGGUGAGUGGAUGGGUGGAUGGGUACUGAUGCUGCCUCUGAGGGAGAAUGUGAGCAAGCGUCGGGUAAUGAGCUAGCUGUUCAGCGAGCAGUGCUGGUAAAUGCGCACUGGAACAGUGAGUCACCAGCUGCCUGUCUGCCAGGCCUGCGCGCAGUGUGAGAACUCGGGGAUCCUGAGGCGGAGCAGGACUCAGAAUGGAAGGGAACUAAUCAAGAGCCCAGGAGGACAAGGUAGAGAGUAGACAGACGGGAGAGGAUAUCACCUUUCCUAGAGUUCAGAGUAGUAAAAUGGGAAUGUCAGGAUCGGUAGUGUGGGUCGGCAGUGUGGAGACCCCAGGUUUGGCAGUGUGGAGACCCCAGGGUCGGCAGUGUGGCGGCCCCAGGAGACCUGGACUAGGCAGUUUGGAGACUGAAAAGCCACGGGUACAUAUCCAUGCUAAAGAAUGUGACAGCCUGGCAAGGGGCUAGAAGAAGAGGUAGGAUGUGUGAGUGUGUUGAUCUCUUUUUUAUAAUUUAUUUAUUUUUUGUGCAUUGGUGUGAGGGUGUCA